Thalassophryne amazonica is the source of this 245-nucleotide long non-coding RNA. RefSeq lists it as uncharacterized. NCBI's taxonomy places the organism in Eukaryota, Metazoa, Chordata, Actinopteri, Batrachoidiformes, Batrachoididae. The record is from RefSeq and is a predicted model, not a curated record. The transcript has 3 exons.
UCAUCUUUCAGCAAGAUAAUGACCCUAAGCACACAGCCAAGAUAUCAAAAGAGUGGCUUCAGGACAACUCUGUGAAAGUCCUUGAGUGGCCCAGCCAGAGCCCAGACUUGAAUGUGAUUAAACAUCUCUGGAGAGAUCUGAAAAUGACUGUGCACCGACGCUCCCCAUCCAACCUGAUGGAGCUUGCGAGGUGCUGCAAAGAGGAAUGGACAAAUGGACCUCCCAAAGAUAGGUGCACCAAGCUU